GAGUUAUUUUCUUCCUUGCAAGCAGCCGGUGUGUCUUCGUGCCGGACUGGAUGAACGAUGAUCGUUUUUAUUUUCUUUUGAUGAGAAGGAAAAAUAUAACGAAGAAGAGUGUUUGGCAAAUUUCUAAAUCCAGAGUUCACAUUGAGCAGCACAUUGAGCAGAGUGGAUCAGCUCAUUGUGUUUUUCAUCAUUGUGAGAAACCUCUCAGAAAAUUCGACUAUCGGCGCGCAGUAAAAGAGCGAGCAGUAGAUAUUCUAUCGCAGUGCGCGCAGUUCUAGAAAGCUUGAGCUCACAUUGUGCUUUUAGAACACAUUGUGCUGUUUUGAGGAGUAUAACACCCCUGCUGGAGGCAUUCCUUGAUAUAGUUCUGUGUGUUCAUUGUUUCCGAUGUGGCGUACGCACUCGCAAAUUUUCUGCCUCACCAUCACCUUCUUGCCUAUUUUUUCGGUAAAAAGGCCUUCUCCGUUUCGGGGAUAUUCUUGUUCUUGCGUACAGUGAGGUACUGUGGCCCAGGAAGGGUUUUAUAGUCCAAUUUCACAUACGAUUCAUCGUCCAUGAUAAUGCACCCAGAACUUUUGCAAAAUAUUGAAUCAUACAGUUUCCGGGCUCUUGGUUCGACAGAAGCGGCUUGAUUUGGGUUUUUUUAGACUUUUUCUGCUUCCGGGUCUUGAGCCCAAGUCGCUCUUUAGCACGCAUCACGUUAGACGUCGAGGUCCCGAUUUUUCUCGCCGCAUCCCGAACGGAAGCCGAUGGUUUCUGUUUGUAGGCAUCGAUAUCAGGACUUACAGGACCAGAUUUUCGCCUCUCCUCGAUUCAUCUUCAAAUGUACGAUGUUCACCAUAUUUUUUUAUAGCUGCCCUGUUUUCUCAAUGAAAAUAUGAAAAAUAUCGUGGACAAGUGGUCUACUGUGAGUGGAAUCACAGUAGACCACUUGUCCACGAUAUUUUUUACCUUCUCCGGAGUAAGACCACGCAUUUUGAAAAGUAAUCACAAACUAAAUGUUUUUUUUUUCAUUUUAUCGCGUACAGAAAUGUGUAAACAAAAGGACGCAGCCAGUAGAAUUUGAAAAAACUAUUCGAUUCAAAAUGACCGUUAUCAUUAGGUGUGCUUAUAAUUUCUGGAACAGUCUAUAAUACAAAGUUUAGGAAAAUUCCGAUCCGGCCCUGCGCCCCGGAUUUAUUCACUUUAUAUGCCCAAUAAAUAUUGUAUUUUUUUUAUUUAUGCGUUCAAAACGAAAGUCUUAUGAAAAUAGUCAUGAAAAGAUUUUCGGAAGCUUAAAUACGAUUUCAAAUCUGCUGAUUAUUUUGAUGGAAAUUUUUUCAUCAAGUAUUUUUCUUGAUUUUUGUUGAGUAAUUGCUGGGUUUUGAUCAAAUUGGCUCGGAUAUUGACCGGAUUUUUAGUCGACAAGUCGAUUUUGGCAAGUUUUUAGAAAAAAUAGCUCGGGUUUGUCCGGCCCGGAUCACUGCUAAAAAAAUUCUGACAACCUUACUCUAAAACAACAAUAAUGCCAAAAAGUACGAAAAAGUGAACUCAUAAGCAUCCCAGAUUGUUUGGAUUUAUCCGGGCUCGCCCGGCUUAUCAAGGAAAUUUUCAAGAAAAGUCCGGUCAGGAUGCCCGAAUAUUGUAGAAAACUACUAGGAUUUUUCCCGGUUCUAUUCCCAUUAUUUGGAAAACUAAACACAAAAAAUCAAAUCAAGUUUUGAAUUGAUUGUCAAAAAACGGAUUCGUGGAAGUUUGUUUCAUAAAAAAACCAAACCAAUUUUCUUUUCGGAUGCUUCAAACACCUGCUGAUGUGCUGCGACAAGAAGAACAUAAUUUUAAAUAAUUUUUUUUCACUUUUGCCUUGAUUUUUUUUUGGAUUAUGAUCUGAAAUUUUCUCAGAUUUGCCGAAUAUUGGCUGGUUUUUCGAAUAGAAAACUUUUAAUUGUGUACCCGGUUUUCAUCAAGUUUUUAGAAAUAAAUUGCCAAAAAUGGCCCGGCCCGGCUACGUGCAAAAAUAAUUCAUGGAUGCGAAUGCUAAUCCUACACUGGAAUCCUCUUUGACUUAUACACUGUACCGCAUGUCAAACGUAGGAGGGCUAUAUGUAGAAAACAUUCAUGCAUUGAAAACAUUCUGGUCCGCAGCAGCACCGCUAGAGCGCAAUUUUCUAGUCAGCGAUUUCCACCCGCCCGACAGAGCAACCACAAUCGAGCGCACUCGGCCAAAGUGUAGAGAAUGUCUAUCAGAAUCCGAACGAUAAAAGCUCUCUUCUAUUUGGCCUUUAUUCUGCACCGCGCGUGACGUGACGAUAGUCGAGUCACCCAAGUCAAUCUAUUCCAGUAGUCCUUUAGAUGAGGAACGUCACUUCGGAUGAACUUUGUGAGUUCUUACUCUAUUCUCGUAGUCACCGUGGGUGAGAAUCGUCACAUUCGGGUGACGUUUUUAGGUGACAAUUGUCUGUACCUUUUCAGGUGGUGACAAGAUAGAAAUGAAAUUAAAAAUAACGAAAAUUACUAUAAAGCGGAGUUGUUAGUUGUUGAAAUUCAAUCCAAAAUUUUUACCCACCAUGUUUAAAUGUUUAAAAUCAUCAAUAAAUUUGACCGCACCUCGAUGAUGAACGGCAUCCUCCCGAGCGUAGCUGGUAUUUUCGUUCGUGUACGUUCCGAGCAGCUCGAUCAUGGUCAGAUCACUGUUUGUAUCCUCGAGGACGUCGUGCAACAGUCUUACAGCUUUUGCAUCUGCUCAUUCGAUGGCGGACACUGAGUGAAUUGAACCUUCAGCUGAUCGACUCUGGAGAAGACUUCCUUUACCUGAUCGCACUGCUUGGUCACCUGAAUCAGCGGGGAAGUGUGUUCCAGAUUGCUAAACAUACGCCACUAAGAUUGCAAGCAAACACGAGCUAGGGCCGAUUCCUGGGGCCUGCUAAUUUUUUCGCAGAAAGCCAAAAUAAGAUUUUCGCCCUGUUCCAGCGGAACGGAAACGAUAAUCGACACCACCGCAUUCAGGACCGUGUCACAUCGCAGACGUCGAUGAUUUUGUGGAAAUCAUCUUUAAUUCCCUUGGAAGACUUGUCCUCGCUGAUUUCCGCUCCCAGUUUUUUGAAAAAAAAUCCCGAGCUCUUGGGCCUGGUCCUCGCGAACACUGGAAAAUUUUACGCAGCAAAAAAAACAGAAACAUCAGUUUGACAGUUCGGGUUUCAUCCCGUCACUCAGCCUGGAAUGAAUAUCUGUCACUGGCUCUCACCUUGCUGUAAGCUCACUUACACUGACUGUCGGAAUGAGGUGACAAGAGUCGAAUGAUGAUGGGGUGACUCGACAAUCGUCACGUCACGCCCGGCGCAGAAUAAGGGCCUUUCACUGACAAAACAUCUCACUCAUUAGUGUGUCAAAUUUCACACAUUUUGGAAAUAAGUAGACCAACGCAUUAAAUGUGUGACGGUACUGCUGCACAUUAAUGUAAAACACCCUGUAAGGAAAAGAAAUGUGUGCGUUCCACACAUUAUGCAGAAAGCGUUGAAAACGGGAAAAUGUGUGAAAUAAUAAAGCGACUGAAAAGAAAAAUGUGUAAAAUGAAGAAAAUGGAAGAGGGCCGCUAUUUUUAGGCACGACCAAAUGAAAUGCUGGUGGUUUUUAAAAGUAUUUUUUUUUUAAUCAAUUUAAGAUUUUCAUCAUUUUUCGGUUUUUGAGGAAACUCAUCUUCAAUUUUUGCCAAACAAUUUCUCCAUUGGCACCGCCAGCAAUCAGCGGGCUGAAUCCGAAAUCUAGAAAAUAAAAAUUAUAAUAAAUUAUUAGGUUGAUGUUUAAAGUUUGAAUAAUGACCAACUUACAUCCGAUUCGUUACGACGAUUCAGCCGUAUAAAUUCUUCGACGUAGUUUGAACAUGGCUGACACCAAAUUGAUUGAGAAAACAACAAGUGUGAUUUCACCCACUUUCAUCUUAUCCAGACUGAUCCGGAUAAUGUGUAAAUUUCGAAUCUGCAUGGUGUGGAAAAAUCACAAACCGGUUUGACAGCUCCAUAUGUUCUCCGAUAAUGUGUGGAAUAUUUUUGCAUAAUGUGUGAAAUGAUUUAUCAGUGUUGUGAGGUGUAGACCAAGGUGCUCACAGCUAGAGUGUAAGCAUUUUGAGGAAAAGUAGGCGAAGGGUACCAUAAGUUUCUCAGUGGUGGAGGGCAAGGUUAUUUAAUUUACUAGGUUCUCUGACUUUUGCAGUAAGUAGGCGAGGAGUGCGCGGUGAAGUGGUGAAGAGCUCGUUAUCUUUGUUUACAAAUAUUAGAAACAGUUUUCGGUCGUAUUUCUUAAAAUAUUAUGGUGUCUCUCUGCGCAGUUAAAAGCUUUCUAAAUAAGCGGUCGGUCAUCAAACACGGUGGAAAAAUUGUGUACCUGAAGUUUCCUAAAAACAGGGAACAAUUCAGGGCGUGGACAAUAUUCUUUGACCAUGGGGAAGGAUGGAUACCAAAGUCCAAUCAAGGUAUCUGUUCAGGGCACUUCGAGUCAAAUUGUUUUUGUUCAUUUCAAUUUGGGCAGAAUGUUCUUGAUUCCGAAAUGGCAGGGACGUUCCAAAAGCUGUGCCAAGUCUCUGCGAACCGCAACCUCUGCGAUCUGAGGCAGUCUUUGCAGUUGCAAUGGACGAUUUCCUCAACGCUGGAUCUCAUCCUGAUUUAGGAUGCAAAACAUCCAAGAUGAACGCGACCCUCGGUAUAGCUGCCAUGCCUCAGAAACUUGUCGGAUUCAGGUCAUGGGCAAAGCCAUAAAAACAUUUUUGAUCUGUGUCACAGAACUUCGGGCUUAUCCUUACAGUUUUUAAACUCUAUAAUGAUUUAAGUCUAUUCUUGUUUAGUUUAAAUAGCAGAAAAUAAAACACAAUGUAUUUUCAACUGAUUAUUAAUUAUUUAAAAAAAACUUUUACUGUAAUGACCAUCAACUUACAAGCAUUACAUGAAUGUCUCCUUUUCCGGCUUUUUAUUUUGCCUUCUGAUUUGGAACAUGCAUAGAAACUCAUUAUUGAUUGGUGUUUUACUUAGUCACUAGCGGCAUCACCAUACCGUAUUCAUAUGUUUCCUACGGCAAUUUAACAGUUCAAG
Molecule: long non-coding RNA, 5060 nt
Organism: Uranotaenia lowii
Lineage: Eukaryota; Metazoa; Arthropoda; Insecta; Diptera; Culicidae
Exons: 3
Source: RefSeq, a predicted model, not a curated record